Non-coding RNA from Pelobates cultripes (western spadefoot toad), 235 nucleotides. The record is from the annotation of a GenBank genome assembly. Lineage: Eukaryota; Metazoa; Chordata; Amphibia; Anura; Pelobatidae.
UGCAUCAACACAUACAAAAACAUAUUUAUAACCAUGAGAUGUUGGCAAACUUCCAAUAUAUAGUAAUCCAAAAAGUACGUUAGAUAUUAAUAUUUCAAUAAACAGUACAUCAGUAAUGUGGCAAUAAGCAGAUUACUAAACACACGAAUUACAGUAUUUCCCAUAUUGUGACCAACAAUAUUCCUUUUCAGGAGUCAGAAGUACAUUACCUCUCUCUAUAAGAGCUUGUCCUAGC